Molecule: ribosomal RNA, 465 nt
Filed under: uncultured bacterium
Lineage: Bacteria
Description: bacterial SSU rRNA
Rfam family: Bacterial small subunit ribosomal RNA
Source: RNAcentral
CCAGACUCCUACGGGAGGCAGCAGUGAGGAAUAUUGGUCAAUGGGCGCGAGCCUGAACCAGCCAAGUCGCGUGAGGGAGGACGGCCCUACGGGUUGUAAACCUCUUUUGCCGGGGAGCAACGGGCGUCACGUGUGGCGCCACUGAGAGUACCCGGAGAAAAAGCAUCGGCUAACUCCGUGCCAGCAGCCGCGGUAAUACGGAGGAUGCGAGCGUUAUCCGGAUUUAUUGGGUUUAAAGGGUGCGUAGGCGGGACGGUAAGUCAGCGUUAAAAAGGGGGAGCCCAACUCCGUCGAGCCGUUGAAACUGCCGUUCUUGAGUGAGCGAGAAGUAUGCGGAAUGCGUGGUGUAGCGGUGAAAUGCAUAGAUAUCACGCAGAACUCCGAUUGCGAAGGCAGCAUACCGGCGCUCAACUGACGCUGAAGCACGAAGGCGUGGGUAUCGAACAGGAUUAGAUACCCUCGUAC